CAUGCAAGUCGAGCGGAUGAAGGGAGCUUGCUCCUGAAUUCAGCGGCGGACGGGUGAGUAAUGCCUAGGAAUCUGCCUGGUAGUGGGGGACAACGUUUCGAAAGGAACGCUAAUACCGCAUACGUCCUACGGGAGAAAGCAGGGGACCUUCGGGCCUUGCGCUAUCAGAUGAGCCUAGGUCGGAUUAGCUAGUUGGUGAGGUAAUGGCUCACCAAGGCGACGAUCCGUAACUGGUCUGAGAGGAUGAUCAGUCACACUGGAACUGAGACACGGUCCAGACUCCUACGGGAGGCAGCAGUGGGGAAUAUUGGACAAUGGGCGAAAGCCUGAUCCAGCCAUGCCGCGUGUGUGAAGAAGGUCUUCGGAUUGUAAAGCACUUUAAGUUGGGAGGAAGGGUUGUAGAUUAAUACUCUGCAAUUUUGACGUUACCGACAGAAUAAGCACCGGCUAACUCUGUGCCAGCAGCCGCGGUAAUACAGAGGGUGCAAGCGUUAAUCGGAAUUACUGGGCGUAAAGCGCGCGUAGGUGGUUCGUUAAGUUGGAUGUGAAAUCCCCGGGCUCAACCUGGGAACUGCAUCCAAAACUGGCGAGCUAGAGUAUGGUAGAGGGUGGUGGAAUUUCCUGUGUAGCGGUGAAAUGCGUAGAUAUAGGAAGGAACACCAGUGGCGAAGGCGACCACCUGGACUGAUACUGACACUGAGGUGCGAAAGCGUGGGGAGCAAAC
RNAcentral lists this ribosomal RNA (724 nucleotides) under uncultured bacterium. RNAcentral's name for it is "bacterial SSU rRNA". It matches the Rfam family "Bacterial small subunit ribosomal RNA", at positions 54 to 773 of the family's 1533-position model. The record is from RNAcentral.